UUUAUAUGAGAGUUUGAUCCUGGCUCAGGAUGAACGCCGGCGGUGUGCCUAAUACAUGCAAGUCGUACGCACUGGCCCAACUGAUUGAUGGUGCUUGCACCUGAUUGACGAUGGAUCACCAGUGAGUGGCGGACGGGUGAGUAACACGUAGGUAACCUGCCCCGGAGCGGGGGAUAACAUUUGGAAACAGAUGCUAAUACCGC
This 203-nucleotide ribosomal RNA is filed under the name Limosilactobacillus reuteri. RNAcentral describes it as "partial 16S ribosomal RNA". It matches the Rfam family "Bacterial small subunit ribosomal RNA", at positions 1 to 172 of the family's 1533-position model. Lineage: Bacteria; Bacillati; Bacillota; Bacilli; Lactobacillales; Lactobacillaceae. The record is from RNAcentral.